AGGGGGAUGGGGCUUAGCCCAUAAAAAUAGAUCACCACGGUGGGAACCCAACCUUAAAAGGUUCAAUGGGUAGCAACAAACCGGAGUGUGACUAAGAGGAGCACUAUUUCAUGUUUUCCUCAUCCCUAUGGCGCUAGUGCUCAUAAAAGCAAGCGGUAGGAUGAGUUCGUUUGUAUAACUCUUAAUGAGUCCGAGACCCAAGUGGCAGGUGCUUCCUUGCUAGCUUUCUUAUUAGGACUCACCUAUAUGUGCAGUCGUGAGGCCGCGAUUAUGGGAAAUGGGCGAUUCCCUAAAAAGCACAUGAUAGAUAUCUGCGCAUGGCCAUAACAGCGCAACCCGCUUAGAACCUAGAUCGGGCUAUAUUAUGUGUGCUGUUGAUUUAAUCUGAGCCAUGGACCGAGGUUCAAGGUUAAGACCACCUUGGCUCCAUAUAUGUAAUCAAUUGUCACUAAGUGAAGGUUUAAACCGAAAGGUACCUACACCUAUUACAUAAUAUAAGAUAUCCAGCAUUUUAUUUUGAUUUUAAAAUUAUUUAAGUUUUUUUUGUGGGGGAUUGUUAGAAAAAAAAAAACU
This 573-nucleotide long non-coding RNA is filed under the name Phoenix dactylifera (date palm). RNAcentral describes it as "long non-coding RNA (PDAC_LNC018323)". Lineage: Eukaryota; Viridiplantae; Streptophyta; Magnoliopsida; Arecales; Arecaceae. The record is from RNAcentral.